CAUGCUGAAUAUGCCGGUUCUCGUUAGAUCACCGAAGUCAAGCAUCAUUGGGCGCGGUCAGUACUUGGGUGGGUGACCACCUGGGAACACCGCGUGCCGUU
Molecule: ribosomal RNA, 101 nt
Filed under: Caerostris darwini
Lineage: Eukaryota; Metazoa; Arthropoda; Arachnida; Araneae; Araneidae
Source: RNAcentral